Molecule: ribosomal RNA, 458 nt
Filed under: uncultured bacterium
Lineage: Bacteria
Description: partial 16S ribosomal RNA
Rfam family: Bacterial small subunit ribosomal RNA
Source: RNAcentral
GCUACGGGAGGCAGCAGUGAGGAAUAUUGCACAAUGGGGGAAACCCUGAUGCAGCGACGCCGCGUGAGUGAAGAAGUAAUUCGUUACGUAAAGCUCUAUCAGCAGGGAAGAAACACUGACCUUACGGUCAGCAGACGGUACCUGAGUAAGAAGCCCCGGCUAACUACGUGCCAGCAGCCGCGGUAAUACGUCGGGGGCAAGCGUUAUCCGGAUUUACUUGGUGUAAAGGGGGCGUAGACGGGGCGCCCAGUCUGGAGUGAAAUGCCGCAGCUUAACUGCGGAACUGCUUUGGAAACUGGCGAACGAGAGGGCGGGAGGGGUAAGCGGAAUUCCUAGUGUAGCGGUGAAAUGAGUAGAUAUUAGGAGGAACACCGGUGGCGAAGGCGGCUUACUGGACCGUAACUGACGUUGAGGCUCGAAAGCGUGGGGAGCAAACAGGAUUAGAUACCCGUGUAGUC